AACGAACGCUGGCGGCGUGGAUAAGACAUGCAAGUCGAACGAGAGAAUUGCUAGCUUGCUAAUAAUUCUCUAGUGGCGCACGGGUGAGUAACACGUGAGUAACCUGCCCCCGAGAGCGGGAUAGCCCUGGGAAACUGGGAUUAAUACCGCAUAGUAUCGAAAGAUUAAAGCAGCAAUGCGCUUGGGGAUGGGCUCGCGGCCUAUUAGUUAGUUGGUGAGGUAACGGCUCACCAAGGCGAUGACGGGUAGCCGGUCUGAGAGGAUGUCCGGCCACACUGGAACUGAGACACGGUCCAGACACCUACGGGUGGCAGCAGUCGAGAAUCAUUCACAAUGGGGGAAACCCUGAUGGUGCGACGCCGCGUGGGGGAAUGAAGGUCUUCGGAUUGUAAACCCCUGUCAUGUGGGAGCAAAUUAAAAAGAUAGUACCACAAGAGGAAGAGACGGCUAACUCUGUGCCAGCAGCCGCGGUAAUACAGAGGUCUCAAGCGUUGUUCGGAAUCACUGGGCGUAAAGCGUGCGUAGGCUGUUUCGUAAGUCGUGUGUGAAAGGCGCGGGCUCAACCCGCGGACGGCACAUGAUACUGCGAGACUAGAGUAAUGGAGGGGGAACCGGAAUUCUUGGUGUAGCAGUGAAAUGCGUAGAUAUCGAGAGGAACACUCGUGGCGAAGGCGGGUUCCUGGACAUUAACUGACGCUGAGGCACGAAGGCCAGGGGAGCGAAAAAGGUUAGAUACCCCUGUAGUCCUGGCAGUAAACGGCCAAAAAAGGGUGUGCGGGGAAUCGACCCCCUGCGUGCCGGAGCUAACGCGUUAAGCGUGCCGCCUGGGGAGUACGGUCGCAAGAUUAAAACUCAAAGAAAUUGACGGGGACCCGCACAAGCGGUGGAGUAUGUGGCUUAAUUCGAUGCAACGCGAAGAACCUUACCUGGGCUUGACAUGUAAUGAACAACAUGUGAAAGCAUGCGACUCUUCGGAGGCGUUACACAGGUGCUGCAUGGCCGUCGUCAGCUCGUGUCGUGAGAUGUUUGGUUAAGUCCAGCAACGAGCGCAACCCCUGUUGCCAGUUACCAGCACGUGAAGGUGGGGACUCUGGCGAGACUGCCCAGAUCAACUGGGAGGAAGGUGGGGACGACGUCAGGUCAGUAUGGCCCUUAUGCCCAGGGCUGCACACGUACUACAAUGCCCAGUACAGAGGGGGCCGAAGCCGCGAGGCGGAGGAAAUCCUGAAAACUGGGCCCAGUUCGGACUGUAGGCUGCAACCCGCCUACACGAAGCCGGAAUCGCUAGUAAUGGCGCAUCAGCUACGGCGCCGUGAAUACGUUCCCGGGUCUUGUACU
This 1338-nucleotide ribosomal RNA is filed under the name uncultured bacterium. Its description in RNAcentral is "bacterial SSU rRNA". It matches the Rfam family "Bacterial small subunit ribosomal RNA", at positions 28 to 1387 of the family's 1533-position model. The record is from RNAcentral.